This 273-nucleotide unclassified non-coding RNA is filed under the name air metagenome. RNAcentral describes it as "partial contains small subunit ribosomal RNA, internal transcribed spacer 1, and 5.8S ribosomal RNA". The stretch from base 1 to 46 matches the Rfam family "Eukaryotic small subunit ribosomal RNA", at positions 1786 to 1831 of the family's 1831-position model. The record is from RNAcentral.
AAGUCGUAACAAGGUUUCCGUAGGUGAACCUGCGGAAGGAUCAUUAACGCAUCUCUGGCGGGCUGCCUCCGCGCCCUGCUCCGGUCCGAAAGGCCGUGCAGCGGGCGAGCCGGCCCCGUCCAACCUUCACAAACCCACCGUGCACAUUGACGGCGGAAGGGCCCUCUCGGGCUCGGAAGCCGCUUCUACAAACCCUAAACCAUUCGAAUGUUCAGCGGCCUCUGUGUCGCCUAAAUUUUGAAACAACUUUCAACAACGGAUCUCUUGGCUCUC